Molecule: transfer RNA, 103 nt
Filed under: Pseudozyma flocculosa
Lineage: Eukaryota; Fungi; Basidiomycota; Ustilaginomycetes; Ustilaginales; Ustilaginaceae
Description: Anthracocystis flocculosa transfer RNA-Ala(AGC)
Rfam family: tRNA
About the family: Transfer RNA (tRNA) molecules are approximately 80 nucleotides in length. Their secondary structure includes four short double-helical elements and three loops (D, anti-codon, and T loops).
Source: RNAcentral
GGGGGUUUAGCUCAGUUGGCAGAGCGUUCGCUUAGCAUCCAAGUUGCUUUCUCAGCACUCGAUCCUUUGCGAAAGGUCACGUGUUCGACUCAUGUAGUCUCCA